Molecule: ribosomal RNA, 550 nt
Filed under: bacterium BaA1-51
Lineage: Bacteria
Description: bacterial SSU rRNA
Rfam family: Bacterial small subunit ribosomal RNA
Source: RNAcentral
CGGCGGACGGGUGAGUAACACGUGGGCAACCUGCCUGUAAGACUGGGAUAACUUCGGGAAACCGAAGCUAAUACCGGAUAGGAUCUUCUCCUUCAUGGGAGAUGAUUGAAAGAUGGUUUCGGCUAUCACUUACAGAUGGGCCCGCGGUGCAUUAGCUAGUUGGUGAGGUAACGGCUCACCAAGGCAACGAUGCAUAGCCGACCUGAGAGGGUGAUCGGCCACACUGGGACUGAGACACGGCCCAGACUCCUACGGGAGGCAGCAGUAGGGAAUCUUCCGCAAUGGACGAAAGUCUGACGGAGCAACGCCGCGUGAGUGAUGAAGGCUUUCGGGUCGUAAAACUCUGUUGUUAGGGAAGAACAAGUACAAGAGUAACUGCUUGUACCUUGACGGUACCUAACCAGAAAGCCACGGCUAACUACGUGCCAGCAGCCGCGGUAAUACGUAGGUGGCAAGCGUUAUCCGGAAUUAUUGGGCGUAAAGCGCGCGCAGGCGGUUUCUUAAGUCUGAUGUGAAAGCCCACGGCUCAACCGUGGAGGGUCAUUGGAAA